CAGAGAAGUAUCAUGUGGGAAAUAGUACUUAAAAAUGGGAAUCCCCGAAAAAAAAAUUUAACACCUUACUAAAUUAUAAGGUUGGAAGUCACUGUUAUGAAUUUAUUUAAAGAUAAAAUAAAUUAAAGCUGGGACUCAAAAUAUCAUGUUUAGGAGUUCCUGUUGUGGCUCAGUGGGUUAAGAACCUGACAUAGUGUCCAUAAGGAUGUGCGUUUGAUCCCUGGCCUCACUCAGUGGGUUAAGGAUCCGGAACUGCUGCAAGCUGUUAGGUCGACUGGCAGCGCAGCUCUGAUUUGAUUGUUAGCCUGGGAACUUCCAUAUGCCACCAGCCUGGCCAUAAAAGGGGAAAAAAAGUCAUGUUCACACUUUCAUAAAUUGGGAAAUGGCAUUCUAGAUGGGACAGUCUUAGUCUAAGAGUUGAGCCUACGCUUUAAUCUCUGAACCUGGAUCUGUCGGUCAUGUUCGGUGACAUACCCAGGCCAUUGUCCUUCCGUUUCUUUAUAUAUAAUGCCUAAUAUGACAAUAAUAAUUGCUUUGUAGUUCAAAUGUAUGCUAUGAUGAUUCUAAAGAAAAAUGCCAAGGAAGAGAAUGAACAAGAAAAGCCCUACAUUAAUGACAGAAGACUGGGCAGGAGUAGGCAAAUCAGGAAAAAAUGUUGGCACUAAAAAAUCUGGAUGAAACAAGGUAAGAUGAGUAAAACAUGGAAUGGAGUCAAAAGAGAGCAAAUACCGGUUCCCAAAUUAUUCUGAUUUCAGAUGUGAAAAGAGGGAGAAAUGGCAAUUCCUAAGAGCAGAGAAUUUAAUGCUUAAUAGGGAAGAAAAGGAAAUUCAGUGAUGAAAAAGGGGAAGAAGCAGCUCCCUCCAGCGCAAUCCGAUAUUCAGCAACUUCCUAAAAGACCAUGAAGAGAAAAAGACAUUAUAAUUGGGAAAAGAUGCAAGGAAGUCCGCAAUUGCCCAUGUAGGGAUUAAGUUAUGAAACUUUGACUCAAAAGACACUGGAAAUAUUUCCAAGACAUUUUUGCAACAACUCAAAUGUCAGGGUUGUAUGAUAUAAGCUUGGGAAAUAGCACCCUGAUUUAUUCUCAAAGAUUUAUUUGGGGAAAAGAAUCUGAAAUACAAGCUGCAAUUUGUAAUAGCACUGUUCAAAAAGCCAAAAAUGAAGAUUGUUUACAUGUUGUAUUAGAAAAGAAAUACUGGCUAAAGACAACAGCUUUGUGUAUUCAAAGAGUAUUGCCGUGUAAGAAUUUGCCAAAUAACUUAAUGAAAUGGUACGAAGUUAGUAUAAAACAAUUCCUAAACCAAGGAAGAACUAAAAAAUGGAUGCCUAAAAUAUGCCAUCCAUACACGUAUGUUCUUGACCAUUUAGCCACAUAAAUGUAGUAGGAAACUAGAUGACAGUGAAAAAAGUAGUAGCUUGCAAGAUCAGAGGAAUAAAUAGCUGGUUGAUGGACUUCGUUUCUAGGUUGUCUUCUUUGCUAUAUAGAUGUAUUUAUUUUUGAAAUUUCAAGAUGUGCAUGAGCUUUUGGGGAAGAGCAUCUUCUGGAAUGUAUAAUUAUAUCUGUUUCAAGUAGCGCUUUCUAAUCACCACACUGGUCAAAAUGCCUUAUGCCCUCAUAGUACUGGUAAAGAUAACUAAUAACAAUUAUUUUCAAAAGGUUUUUAUGGGAGUUCCCGUCACACAGUGGAAACAAAUCCAACUAGGAGCCAUGAGUUUGCAGGUUUGAUCCCUGGCCUCGCUCAGUGGGUUGAGGAUCCAGCGUUGCCUUGAGCUGUGGUGUAGUCGCAGACAAGACUCAGAUCUGGCAUUGCUGUGGCUGUGGUGUAGGCCAGCAGCUGUAGCUCCAAUUCGAUGCCUAACCUGGGAACCUCCAUAUGCCAUGGGUAUGGCCCUGAAGAAAAAAAAAAAAAAAAAAGCUUUUAUGCAAAUUUGUAUGGGAUCUGGUUUAAAAUGAGGGCUAUCUACUAUUGCGUUUGACUGCUCUGAUUUUGAUGAAGAUCCUGCAAAAGGACAGAAACGAUAUGUAUGAAAAGGAUUUAAAAUACUUUAACAAGACAAAACUUGAAGAAAUAGUUAUAGAGAAAUUGUAGGAAGAAAGAUCCAAAAAUGAAUAAAGCACUAAAAUGUCUUAAAGUUUUACUUAAAGGCAGAUCUCACCUUAUGCAAAAAUACCCAAGGGUACUUUAAAGUCAGCUGGAGUAUAUUCCCAGAUCUACCAUUUUUCAGCUGAGUGAUGAUGGCCCAGGAAGACUAAACUGUCAAAUUCUAAACUUCAAUUUCCACAUGUAUGAAGUGACGAUGAUAAUAAUAAUAUAUUCUUUAUAACGGUAUUUUAAAGGUUAAAUGUGACCUCUAUCACACUGCAGUAUAAUUAUUUAUGGUUGUCUCUUUCAUUCUUUCUUUCUAUCAACAAAUAUUACUUGAAAGCCUACUAAAGUGAAUACUGACUCUGCCUCUAUUUCUUUGUCUCUGUUAGCCAUGUGGCUUUGAGAAAAAUAUUUAACAUCUGUGCCAAUGUUAUCUUUAAAGUUGAGAUAAAAAUAGUAUACAUCUCAAAGGGAUAUUGUAAGAUUAAAUAAGCUAAUACAAGUAACGUAUUUAGAAAAAAGCCUAAUAGUAAAAGUUAGAAAAUUGAAGAGUUCCCAUGGUGGCUCAGUGAUAACAAACCCAACUAGUAUCCAUGAGGACGCAGGUUUGAUCCCUGGCCUUGCUAAGGGGUUAAGAAUCUGGCAUUGCCAUGAGUUGUGGUGUAGGUUGCACACGUGGUUUGGAUCUGGUGUUGCUAUGACUGUGACAUAGGCCAAUAGCUACUGUUCCUAUUUGACCUCAAGCCUGGGAACUUCCAUAUGCUGCAGAAGCAGCCCUAAAAAGUAAAGAAAAAAAAAGAAAAAGAAGAAAGAAAGAAAGAAAGAAAGAGAGAAAGAAAGAGAAAACUGACAAAUCUUAGCUAGAUUUUUGUUAAUUUUUUCCUUCCUCCUUUUUCUCCUAAUCGUUCUUACUCCUUGUCUUAUCAUCACCAUCAACAACACCAUGCAUUCUGCAAAUCCUUUCCUAUUAGGAAAUGAUAUUCUUCCUUUUGGGGGGGUUCUGUUAUUAUUCAUUUGUGAAGUUAAAAAUUAUCAGACACAACUUAGAAUAGAUGUACAAGGAGAUCCUGCUGAGUACCAUUGAGAACUUUGUCUAGAUACUCAUGUUGCAACAGAACAAAGGGUGGGGAAAAAAAAUGUAAUUGUAAUGUAUACAUGUAAGGAUAACUUGAUCCCCUUGCUGUACAGUGGGAAAAAUUAAAAAAAAAAAUGAGCAAUACAAAGUAAAAACUGCUGGAGUUCCCGUCAUGGCUCAGCAGAAAAGAAUCUGACUAGUAUCCAUGAGGACGCAGGUUCAAUCCCUGGCCUUGCUCAGUGGGUUAAGGAUCCAGUGUUGCAGUGAGCUGUGGUGUAGGUCACAGACGUAGUUCAGAUCUGGUGUUACCGUGGUUGUGGUGUAGGCCAGCAGCUGCAGCUCCAAUUAGACCCCUAGCUUGGGAACCUCUGUAUGCCAUGGGUGCGGCCCUAAAAAGCCAAAAAAAAAAAAAAAAAAAAAAAAAAGUCAAAACUACCAUACAAUUUUUCAAGGAAAUAAUAUAAACAAUAAAUAAUAAAUAAACUAUUGAACACUAGUUCCCAUUAUUAGUCAAAACCUUUUGGUUUGCAAAGAAAAUCAACUCAAACUACCUUCCCUGAAAUUGUAGGGGGAAAUUUUUUGGCUGAAGUAAACAAACAACACAAAAGCAAGAGGUGGGGCUGGCCUCAAGAUCCUUUGAAUCCAAAAACCUCAUAGCUUGUCAAGACACUCCCUCCCAGAAUUUCUCAUCUCUGCUUCAUUUUGAGUGUAAUUCCAUGCUCUCCUCUGCAGACAGCGCUCUCUGUGAGACAGAGGUCACACACUCACAGUUCUGGGUGUGACUCCUAACAGGUCCUGACCGAGGUGGCAGGGGACCUUAUGGUCUACCUCCAACUGGAAAAGUACAUGGAAAAAGCAUUAAUUGGCCUGUUAUGAAUCACAAGCCCAUUCCUGAGUGUUUAGCAUGGCUAGAUGAGGUAAUAUGCUACACAUACUAUAAUGAGAUUAUACUCUAUAUGCUAACAGGGAGAGAGCACAGGUUAAUGGAAGUGAGGAGGAGUAGAGAACAGCAUAUCCCUCCGAAAUAAACAAGACUUUGUUAAUUUGUGUCACUGAGAAGUCCCCUCCCUGUCUUCUCCCUUCACUUUAUAUGCUCAAUGCCCAGUACUGCUUAGUGCAUACAAGACAGCCAAUAAAUAUUUUUGAAAAAUAUAUAGGCAUUACAAUCCCAAUAAAAACAUUUUGACACGAUUUUUAUUGGUCAUUUUUACCAAUACAACAGAGGACAAAGGCAUUUCUGACCAGUGCGGUGAUUAGAAAGAACUACUUAAAACUAAUAUAAUUAGUUCCCAUCAUGGCUCAGUGGUUAACAAACCUGACUAGCAUCCAUGAGGAUGACAGUUUGAUCCCUGGCCUUGCUCAGUGGGUUAAGGAUCCAGUGUUUCAGUGAGCUAUGGGGUAGAUCCCAGAGGUGGCUCUGAUUCCGUGUUGCUGUGGCUGUGGUGUAGGCCAGCGGCUACAGCUCCAAUUCAAGCCCUACCCUGGGAACUUCCAUAUGCCAUGGGGGCAGCCCUAAAAGACAAACAAACAAACAAACAAACAAAAUAAUAAUAUCGUUAUACAUUCCAGAAGAUCCUCUUCUCUGAACAUACAAUUUUCAAUCCCUUUUCCUUUUUAACAAGCCAUCUGAAAACAUCAAUGUAUUUCAUGAUGCUCAAUUUUAAACACUUUUAAACAAGUAUCUAUUACUCUUCCUUAAGUUGCUACAACAAAAUACCCUGGACUGAGUGACUUAUAAACAGCAAAUAUUUAUUUUUCAUGGUUCUGGAGGCUGAGAAGUCAAAGAUCAAAAUACUCAGUGUCUAGUGAAAGUCCAUUUUCCUAGUUCAUAGAAGUUGGUUCCAUCUUUUUGCUGUAGCCUCACACGAUAAAAGAGAUAAGGAAACUCUCUGGAGUCUUUUGUUUUGUCUUUUUGCCUUUUCUAGGGCUGCUCCCACGGCAUAUGGAGGUUUCCAGGCUAGAGGUCUAAUCAGAGCUGUAGCCGCCGGCCUACACUACAGCCACAGCAAUGUGGGAUCCAAGCUGCGUCUGCAACCUACACCACAGCUCACGGCCAACACCGGAUCUGUAACCCACUGAGCAAGACCAGGGAUCGAACCCCCAACCUCAUGGUUCCUAGUUGGAUUCGUUAACCACUGCGCCAUGACAGGAACUCCAUCUGGGGUCCGUUUUAAUAAGGUCACUAAUCCACCCAUGAGGGCCUCCCAAACCCACCUAUAAACAUGUCAUAUUGAAAAUUAGGUCUCUCAACUUACGGAUUUAGGGAGGACACAAACAUUCAGCUCAUAGCAUUCUGCCACUGACCCCUCCAAAUGAGUGCACAAUACAUUCAUUCUGUCUGAACAGCCCCCAAAGUUUUAACUCAUCCCAGCAUCACCUUUAAAAUCUAAGUCCAAAGUCCUAUCUAAACAUUGUCUAAAGCAGAUGGAGUUCUGACUAAAUCUAAAUCAUACU
RNAcentral lists this long non-coding RNA (5613 nucleotides) under Sus scrofa (pig). RNAcentral describes it as "lncRNA (ENSSSCG00060062343.1)". Lineage: Eukaryota; Metazoa; Chordata; Mammalia; Artiodactyla; Suidae. The record is from RNAcentral.